AUACGGGAGGCAGCAGUGGGGAAUCUUGCGCAAUGGGCGAAAGCCUGACGCAGCGACGCUGCGUGGGGGAAGAAGGCUUUCGGGUUGUAAACCCCUUUCAGGAAGGACGAAGCCACUCGGGUGAAUAGCCCAGAGGGUGACGGUACUUCCAGAAGAAGCCCCGGCUAACUACGUGCCAGCAGCCGCGGUAAUACGUAGGGGGCAAGCGUUGUCCGGAUUUAUCGGGCGUAAAGAGCGUGUAGGCGGUUUGGUAGGUCCGCUGUGAAAACUCGAGGCUCAACCUCGAGACGCCGGUGGAAACCAUCAGGCUAGAGUCCGGAAGAGGAGAGUGGAAUUCCUGGUGUAGCGGUGAAAUGCGCAGAUAUCAGGAAGAACACCCGUGGCUAAGGCGGCUCUCUAGUACGGUACUGACGCUGAGACGCGAAAGCGUGGGGAGCGAACAGGAUUAGAUACCCCGGUAGA
Molecule: ribosomal RNA, 462 nt
Filed under: uncultured bacterium
Lineage: Bacteria
Description: bacterial SSU rRNA
Rfam family: Bacterial small subunit ribosomal RNA
Source: RNAcentral